UGGGGAAUAUUGCACAAUGGGCGCAAGCCUGAUGCAGCCAUGCCGCGUGUGUGAAGAAGGCCUUCGGGUUGUAAAGCACUUUCAGCGGGGAGGAAGGCGUUAAGGUUAAUAACCUUGGCGAUUGACGUUACCCGCAGAAGAAGCACCGGCUAACUCCGUGCCAGCAGCCGCGGUAAUACGGAGGGUGCAAGCGUUAAUCGGAAUUACUGGGCGUAAAGCGCACGCAGGCGGUCUGUCAAGUCGGAUGUGAAAUCCCCGGGCUCAACCUGGGAACUGCAUUCGAAACUGGCAGGCUAGAUUCUUUUAGAGGGGGUUAGAAUUCCCGGUGUAGCUGUGAAAUGCGUAGAGAUCUGGAGGAAUACCGGUGGCGAAGGCGGCCCCCUGGACAAAGACUGACGCUCAGGUGCGAAAGCGUGGGGAGCAAACAGG
Molecule: ribosomal RNA, 429 nt
Filed under: Chloroflexota bacterium
Lineage: Bacteria; Bacillati; Chloroflexota
Description: Chloroflexi bacterium partial 16S ribosomal RNA
Rfam family: Bacterial small subunit ribosomal RNA
Source: RNAcentral